This 468-nucleotide ribosomal RNA is filed under the name uncultured bacterium. RNAcentral's name for it is "partial 16S ribosomal RNA". It matches the Rfam family "Bacterial small subunit ribosomal RNA", at positions 28 to 507 of the family's 1533-position model. The record is from RNAcentral.
GACGAACGCUGGCGGCGUGCUUAACACAUGCAAGUCGAACGGAAAGGCCCUGCUUUUGUGGGGUGCUCGAGUGGCGAACGGGUGAGUAACACGUGAGUAACCUGCCCUUGACUUUGGGAUAACUUCAGGAAACUGGGGCUAAUACCGGAUAGGAGCUCCUGCUGCAUGGUGGGGGUUGGAAAGUUUCGGCGGUUGGGGAUGGACUCGCGGCUUAUCAGCUUGUUGGUGGGGUAGUGGCUUACCAAGGCUUUGACGGGUAGCCGGCCUGAGAGGGUGACCGGCCACAUUGGGACUGAGAUACGGCCCAGACACCAACGGGAGGCAGCAGUGGGGAAUAUUGCACAAUGGGCGGAAGCCUGAUGCAGCAACGCCGCGUGCGGGAUGACGGCCUUCGGGUUGUAACCCGCUUUCGCCUGUGACGAAGCGUGAGUGACGGUAAUGGGUAAAGAAGCACCGGCUAACUACGUG